UUUUGGAUACUGGAGAUGGAAUAGGGGCUUGCUCCGUCCACUCCAUGCAUCGACCCGGUAUUGCAGUACUUCCGGGAACGGUGUAUCCCCA
Molecule: small nuclear RNA, 91 nt
Gene: U2
Rfam family: U2 spliceosomal RNA
About the family: U2 is a small nuclear RNA (snRNA) component of the spliceosome (involved in pre-mRNA splicing). Complementary binding between U2 snRNA (in an area lying towards the 5' end but 3' to hairpin I) and the branchpoint sequence (BPS) of the intron results the bulging out of an unpaired adenosine, on the BPS, which initiates a nucleophilic attack at the intronic 5' splice site, thus starting the first of two transesterification reactions that mediate splicing.
Source: Ensembl